CCUACGGGAGGCAGCAGUAGGGAAUAUUGCUCAAUGGGGGAAACCCUGAAGCAGCAACGCCGCGUGGAGGAUGAAGGUUUUCGGAUUGUAAACUCCUUUUGUUAGAGAAGAUAAUGACGGUAUCUAACGAAUAAGCACCGGCCAACUCCGUGCCAGCAGCCGCGGUAAUACGGUGGGUGCAAGCGUUACUCGGAAUCACUGGGCGUAAAGAGCGCGUAGGCGGGAUAGCAAGUCAGAUGUGAAAUCCUAUGGCUUAACCAUCGAACUGCAUUUGAUACUGUUAUUCUAGAGUAUGGGAGAGGUAAGUGGAAUUCUUGGUGUAGGGGUAAAAUGCGUAGAGAUCAAGAGGAAUACUCAUGGCGAAGGCGACCUGCUAGAACAUAACUGACGCUGAGGCGCGAAAGCGUGGGGAGCAAACAGGAUUAGAUACCCUGGUAGUC
RNAcentral lists this ribosomal RNA (440 nucleotides) under uncultured bacterium. RNAcentral describes it as "partial 16S ribosomal RNA". It matches the Rfam family "Bacterial small subunit ribosomal RNA", at positions 338 to 795 of the family's 1533-position model. The record is from RNAcentral.